Rhinichthys klamathensis goyatoka is the source of this 562-nucleotide long non-coding RNA. RefSeq lists it as uncharacterized. Lineage: Eukaryota; Metazoa; Chordata; Actinopteri; Cypriniformes; Leuciscidae. The record is from RefSeq and is a predicted model, not a curated record. The transcript has 3 exons.
UUGGAUUUUAUUCAGUUUUAAAUCUUAUUUAGAUUAUUUUAGUCAGACAUGCUUAUAUGUGCAUAGGCCUAUUUUAUUCCUCUUCAGUUACUUACUUUUUAAAUUUUGGUAGGCUACUUUUUAAUUCUUCUUUUACUCUGUCUUUGAUUUUAACUUUUAGCAAUUUGCAUGAUAAAUUGUUUAACAUGUAAGCUAUAUGAAUGACACUGUCACAAUGUGAUAAGCAAAACAUAUAAAAGUCAAGUCAAAGCUAUAUAUAGGCUAGUGCUUUUCAUUGGCAUUUAAAAUAACAUGGUCUUUCCUUCUCUCUCUCUCUCACAGCAAACACUGCAGGACAAUCAGGCAUCCAAGUAACAUGCAAAAUCUCUGCAUCUGAUGAUGGCCAUGUGUUUUCGCCGAUCAUAACUGGUUUAACUCUUGGCUCCUUUGAGAUCAAUAUGACUUCUGCCAAAUCAAAUGUGCCGGCAAAUUGCAAAAUCUCUGCAUCUGAUGAUGGCCAUGUGUUUUCGCCGAUCAUAACUGGUUCAAGCUCCUUUGAGAUCAACAUGACUUCUGCCAAAUC